AGAUUGAACGCUGGCGGCAUGCCUUACACAUGCAAGUCGAACGGCAGCACGGGAGCAAUCCUGGUGGCGAGUGGCGAACGGGUGAGUAAUACAUCGGAACGUGCCCCAAUCGUGGGGGAUAACGCAGCGAAAGCUGUAGCUAAUACCGCAUAAGAUCUACGGAUGAAAGCAGGGGAUCGCAAGACCUUGCGCGAAGUGGAGCGGCCGAUGGCAGAUUAGGUAGUGGUGAGGUAAGGCUCACAAGCC
RNAcentral lists this ribosomal RNA (246 nucleotides) under uncultured soil bacterium. RNAcentral's name for it is "partial 16S ribosomal RNA". It matches the Rfam family "Bacterial small subunit ribosomal RNA", at positions 26 to 274 of the family's 1533-position model. The record is from RNAcentral.